AUACGGUCAUAUCAUGUAAAACACCGGUUACCGUACGAUCACAGAAGUUAAGCAACGUCAAACUUGGUCAGUACUCAGAUCGGUGACAGUUUGGGAAUACCAGGUUGUG
This is a non-coding RNA of Acanthosepion pharaonis, 109 nucleotides long. The record is from the annotation of a GenBank genome assembly. Lineage: Eukaryota; Metazoa; Mollusca; Cephalopoda; Sepiida; Sepiidae.